AUGGGGACGUUCCUUCCUGGACCUUUUUACAAUGGGGACGUUCCUUCCUGGACCUUUUUACAAUUGGGACAUUCCUUUGAAGUUAAUGUGUUACCUAGCACCGCAGGUAUCCAGUGUGAGGUGAAGCUGGUGGAAUCCGGAGGAGGCUUGGUACAGCCUGGGGGUUCUCUGAGACUCUCCUGUGCAGCUUCUGGGUUCACAUUCAGUGAUUUCUACAUGGAGUGGGUCCGCCAGGCUCCAGGGAAGGGACUGGAGUGGAUUGGUGCAAGUAGAAACAAAGCUAAUGAUUAUACAACAGAGUACAGUGCAUCUGUGAAGGGUCGGUUCACCAUCUCCAGAGACACUUCCCAAAACAUCCUCUACCUUCAGAUGAACACCCUGAGAGCUGAGGACACUGCCAUUUAUUACUGUGCCAGAGAUACACACAGUGAGAGGACUUCAUUUUGA
Molecule: non-coding RNA, 447 nt
Organism: Mus pahari (shrew mouse)
Lineage: Eukaryota; Metazoa; Chordata; Mammalia; Rodentia; Muridae
Source: the annotation of a RefSeq genome assembly